UCACUGGUGGCUCAGCGGUAAAACAUCUGCCUGCCAAGCAGGAGACACAGGUUCAAUUCCUGGGUUGGGAA
Molecule: transfer RNA, 71 nt
Filed under: Capra hircus (goat)
Lineage: Eukaryota; Metazoa; Chordata; Mammalia; Artiodactyla; Bovidae
Also listed under: 1 other name
Rfam family: tRNA
About the family: Transfer RNA (tRNA) molecules are approximately 80 nucleotides in length. Their secondary structure includes four short double-helical elements and three loops (D, anti-codon, and T loops). Further hydrogen bonds mediate the characteristic L-shaped molecular structure. tRNAs have two regions of fundamental functional importance: the anti-codon, which is responsible for specific mRNA codon recognition, and the 3' end, to which the tRNAs corresponding amino acid is attached (by aminoacyl-tRNA synthetases). tRNAs cope with the degeneracy of the genetic code in two manners: having more than one tRNA (with a specific anti-codon) for a particular amino acid; and 'wobble' base-pairing, i.e. permitting non-standard base-pairing at the 3rd anti-codon position.
Source: Rfam by way of RNAcentral